CGGGUAGCGGAACACGUACGCAACCUUCCCAAAACUGGUGAAUAGCCUUUCGAAAGAGAGAUUAAUACACCGUAACAUGACGAGUAGGCAUCUACUUGUUAUUAUAGUAGCAAUACGGUUUUGGAUGGGCGUGCGCCUGAUUAGGUAGUUGGCGGGGUAACGGCCCACCAAGCCUGCGAUCAGUAACUGGUGUGAGAGCACGACCAGUCACACGGGCACUGAGACACGGGCCCG
Molecule: ribosomal RNA, 234 nt
Filed under: uncultured bacterium
Lineage: Bacteria
Description: partial 16S ribosomal RNA
Rfam family: Bacterial small subunit ribosomal RNA
Source: RNAcentral